AUAGCGUAUAUUAAAGUUGUUGUAGUUAAAAAGCUCGUAGUUGGAUUUCUGGUGGGAGCAGCCAGUCCUGCCCCUUGCGGGGUUGUGCACUUGCGCUGCAUCCGGCCAUCCUCGUGCAGAGCCUUCCUGGCAUUAGGUUGUCGGGCUGGGGAUGCACGUCCUUUACUGUGAAAAAAUUAGAGUGUUUAAAGCAGGCAUUUGCUUGAAUACAUUAUGCAUGGAAUAAUAAGAUAGGACUUUGGUUGCUAUUUUGUUGGUUUGCGCUCCAAGGUAAUGAUUAAUAGGGACAGUUGGGGGUAUUCAUAUUUAAUUGUCAGAGGUGAAAUUCUUGGAUUUAUGAAAGAUGAACUUAUGCGAAAGCAUUUACCAUGGAUGUUUUCAUUAAUCAAGAACGAAAGUUAGGGGAUCGAAGAUGAUUAGAUACCAUCGUAGUCUUAACCAUAAACUAUGCCGACUAGGGAUUGGGAGAUGUUAUUUUGAUGACUCUCUCAGCACCUUAUGAGAAAUCAAAGUCUUUGGGUUCCGGGGGGAGUAUGGUCGCAAGGCUGAA
RNAcentral lists this ribosomal RNA (550 nucleotides) under uncultured stramenopile. Its description in RNAcentral is "SSU rRNA". It matches the Rfam family "Eukaryotic small subunit ribosomal RNA", at positions 594 to 1141 of the family's 1831-position model. The record is from RNAcentral.